GUGUCAGCCGCCGCGGUAAUACGUAGGGGGCAAGCGUUGUUCGGAAUUACUGGGCGUAAAGGGCGCGUAGGCGGCAUGGCAAGUCAGGAGUGAAAGGCCUGGGCUCAACCGAGGAACUGCUUUUGAGACUGCCAAGCUAGAGUGCGGAAGGGGCAACUGGAAUUCCCAGUGUAGCGGUGAAAUGCGUAGAUAUUGGGAAGAACACCGGAGGCGAAGGCGGGUUGCUGGGCCGACACUGACGCUGAGGCGCGAAAGCCAGGGGAGCAAACGGGAUUAGAUACCCUUGUAGUCC
RNAcentral lists this ribosomal RNA (292 nucleotides) under uncultured bacterium. RNAcentral's name for it is "partial 16S ribosomal RNA". It matches the Rfam family "Bacterial small subunit ribosomal RNA", at positions 505 to 796 of the family's 1533-position model. The record is from RNAcentral.